RNAcentral lists this ribosomal RNA (463 nucleotides) under uncultured bacterium. RNAcentral's name for it is "partial 16S ribosomal RNA". It matches the Rfam family "Bacterial small subunit ribosomal RNA", at positions 28 to 507 of the family's 1533-position model. The record is from RNAcentral.
GAUGAACGCUGACAGAAUGCUUAACACAUGCAAGUCGAUGGGGAAGUGGUGCUUGCACCAUGGUAACCAUGGCGGACGGGUGAGUAACGCGUAAGGAGCUUACCUGCGGGACCGGGAUAACAGCAGGAAACUGCUGACAAGACCGGAUAAGGUCAUUAAGCUGCAUAGCUUAGUGAUGAAAGGAGACGCCUGCGGAGAGCCUUGCGUCCUAUUAGCUAGUUGGAGGGGUAACGGCCCACCAAGGCGAAGAUAGGUAGCCGGCCUGAGAGGGUGGACGGCCACAAGGGGACUGAGAUACGGCCCUUACUCCUACGGGAGGCAGCAGUGGGGAAUAUUGGACAAUGGGGGCAACCCUGAUCCAGCAAUUCUGUGUGCACGAAGACGGUUUUCGGAUUGUAAAGUGCUUUCAGCAGGGAAGAAGGAAGUGACGGUACCUGCAGAAGAAGCGACGGCUAAAUACGUG